RNAcentral lists this ribosomal RNA (908 nucleotides) under uncultured Bacteroides sp. RNAcentral describes it as "bacterial SSU rRNA". It matches the Rfam family "Bacterial small subunit ribosomal RNA", at positions 8 to 916 of the family's 1533-position model. Lineage: Bacteria; Pseudomonadati; Bacteroidota; Bacteroidia; Bacteroidales; Bacteroidaceae. The record is from RNAcentral.
AGAGUUUGAUCAUGGCUCAGGAUGAACGCUAGCGGCAGGCUUAACACAUGCAAGUCGAGGGGUAUAGUUCUUCGGAACUAGAGACCGGCCGACACGGGUGCGCUAACGCGUAUGCAACCUACCCUUUACAGGGGGAUAGCCCGGGGAAACCCGGAUUAAUACCCCAUAGUAUCUUUGAAUGGCAUCGUUUAAAGAUUAAAGAUUCAUCGGUAAAGGAUGGGCAUGCGUAGGAUUAGCUAGUUGGUGUGGUAACGGCACACCAAGGCGACGAUCCUUAGGGGUUCUGAGAGGAAGGUCCCCCACACUGGCACUGAGAUACGGGCCAGACUCCUACGGGAGGCAGCAGUAGGGAAUAUUGGUCAAUGGGUGAGAGCCUGAACCAGCCAUGCCGCGUGCAGGAAGACGGCGUUCUGCGUUGUAAACUGCUUUUAUACGGGAAGAAAAGGCCCAUGCGUGGGACAUUGCCGGUACCGUAUGAAUAAGCACCGGCUAACUCCGUGCCAGCAGCCGCGGUAAUACGGAGGGUGCAAGCGUUGUCCGGAUUUAUUGGGUUUAAAGGGUGCGUAGGCGGUCCUAUAAGUCAGCGGUGAAAGUUUAAGGCUCAACCUUAAAAUUGCCGUUGAUACUGUAGGACUUGAGUGCCGAUGGGGUACAUGGAAUUUAUGGUGUAGCGGUGAAAUGCAUAGAUACCAUAAGGAACACCGAUAGCGAAGGCAUUGUACUGAUCGGCAACUGACGCUGAGGCACGAAAGCGUGGGUAGCGAACAGGAUUAGAUACCCUGGUAGUCCACGCCGUAAACGAUGAUUACUCGCUGUUAUCUCUUUAAUGGGGUAGUGGCCAAGCGAAAGCGUUAAGUAAUCCACCUGGGGAGUACGCCGGCAACGGUGAAACUCAAAGGAAUUGACGG